UCCGGUUUGUUUCCGGCAGUCUCUCUAGAUUUGCAACUAGAAAUAAGGGUUGCGCUCGUUGAGGGACUUAACCCAACAUCUCACGACACGAGCUGACGACAGCCAUGCAACAUCUGUGUAUCCGUCCGAAGAGGCUUCUCUUUCAAGAAGUUGCGAAUACAUGUCAAACCCAGGUAAGGUUCUUCGCGUUGCAUCGAAUUAAACCACACGCUCCGCUGCUUGUGCGGGGACCCGUCAAUUCCUUUGAGUUUUAGUCUUGCGACCGUACUCCCCAGGCGGGCCACUUAAUGCGUUAGCUUCGGCACGGAAGGGGUCAACACCCCCCACACCUAGUGGCCAUCGUUUACUGCUAGGACUAC
This 359-nucleotide unclassified non-coding RNA is filed under the name uncultured Ktedonobacteria bacterium. Its description in RNAcentral is "contains 16S-23S intergenic spacer region". The record is from RNAcentral. Lineage: Bacteria; Bacillati; Chloroflexota; Ktedonobacteria.